GACGGAGGGUGCAAGCGUUGUUCGGAAUUACUGGGCGUAAAGGGCGCGUAGGCGGUCUGUUAAGUUCGGUGUGAAAGCCCCCGGCUCACCUGGGGAACUGCGCCGGAAACCGACAGACUCGAGUACCGGAGAGGAGGGUGGAAUUCCUGGUGUAGCGGUGAAAUGCGUAGAUAUCAGGAGGAACACCAGUGGCGAAGGCGGUUGCCUGGAGCUUUGCUGACGCUGAUGCGCGAAAGCGUGGGGAGCGAUCCGG
This 253-nucleotide ribosomal RNA is filed under the name uncultured bacterium. RNAcentral describes it as "partial 16S ribosomal RNA". It matches the Rfam family "Bacterial small subunit ribosomal RNA", at positions 524 to 776 of the family's 1533-position model. The record is from RNAcentral.